RNAcentral lists this ribosomal RNA (324 nucleotides) under uncultured eukaryote. Its description in RNAcentral is "partial 18S ribosomal RNA". It matches the Rfam family "Eukaryotic small subunit ribosomal RNA", at positions 1470 to 1796 of the family's 1831-position model. The record is from RNAcentral.
CCCUUAGAUGUCCUGGGCUGCACGCGCGCUACACUGAUGUGUCCAGUAAGCACCUAACCUCUUCCGAAAGGAACGGUUAACCUUUGCAAAGCACAUCGUGAUGGGGAUAGAUUAUUGCAAUUAUUAGUCUUGAACGAGGAAUUCCUAGUAAGCACAAGUCAUCAGCUUGUGUUGAUUACGUCCCUGCCCUUUGUACACACCGCCCGUCGCUCCUACCGAUUGAAUGUUCCGGUGAGCUCUUCGGACUGCGCGGUCUGCAGUUUCUGCGUUCCGUGCGGAAAGUUGCGCAAACCUUAACAUUUAGAGGAAGGAGAAGUCGUAACA